RNAcentral lists this ribosomal RNA (253 nucleotides) under uncultured bacterium. RNAcentral's name for it is "partial 16S ribosomal RNA". It matches the Rfam family "Bacterial small subunit ribosomal RNA", at positions 524 to 776 of the family's 1533-position model. The record is from RNAcentral.
UACGAAGGGGGCUAGCGUUGUUCGGAAAUACUGGGCGUAAAGCGCACGUAGGCGGGUCGUUAAGUCAGGGGUGAAAUCCCGGAGCUCAACUCCGGAACUGCCUUUGAUACUGGCGAUCUAGAGAUCGGAAGAGGUGAGUGGAAUUCCCAGUGUAGAGGUGAAAUUCGUAGAUAUUGGGAAGAACACCAGUGGCGAAGGCGGCUCACUGGUCCGAUACUGACGCUGAGGUGCGAAAGCGUGGGGAGCAAACAGG